UACGUAGGUGGCAAGCGUUGUCCGGAUUUACUGGGCGUAAAGGGCGUGCAGGCGGUCUGUUAAGUCUAGGGUGAAAGCUCCCGGCUCAACUGGGAGAGGUCCUUGGAUACUGGCGGACUUGAGGGAGGCAGAGGAAAGUGGAAUCCCGGUGUAGUGGUGAUAUGCGUAGAUAUCGGGAGGAACACCAGUGGCGAAGGCGGCUUUCUGGGCCUUACCUGACGCUGAGACGGCGAAAGCGUGGGGAGCGAACCGGAU
This 255-nucleotide ribosomal RNA is filed under the name uncultured bacterium. RNAcentral's name for it is "partial 16S ribosomal RNA". It matches the Rfam family "Bacterial small subunit ribosomal RNA", at positions 524 to 778 of the family's 1533-position model. The record is from RNAcentral.